Molecule: long non-coding RNA, 2294 nt
Organism: Oxyura jamaicensis (ruddy duck)
Lineage: Eukaryota; Metazoa; Chordata; Aves; Anseriformes; Anatidae
Exons: 4
Source: RefSeq, a predicted model, not a curated record
UCCCCAUGUAUGACAACGAGCUGCACUUGAAAGUCUCCAAAACAUUACUUCUGAAGUAUUCUGUUUCCAGAUAAACCUUUUUUUAAAAGCUGGACUUACUCUUCUGAGUCUUCUAAAGCAUUGGUCAGGCUUCUGAACGUGUUCUUUGAGCACUAUGUUAGUGAGAAAGGUUCAAGUGUUUUCUAUAGAAAAUAGUGAGCUUGUUUCUAUUAAAAGCUGUCAUACCUCCACCUGCCUCAAUAUGACAUCAGGCUAUGAAAAAGAAACCUAAAAAGAGAGACAUGUUGUACUCAGCACAGAGAAGAAAAUUUCACAAGAGACAAGGCCAGUGAAGAUCAGUCACCAUUUUUCUGCAAGGUGGAUGGAGCAAGAAGGGACAGAAGAGGCCUCCCAGUUCUUCAUCGAGUGGAAGGGAAGAAAUUGUCCUGAGUCACAGACUAUUCCUGUUUUUUUAAGGCAGAAACAUGCGCCCACACACCCUGUCACAACUGCACAGCAAGACACUGCCUUUGAGGAAGCAUGGAUUUCUUGCACAUAUGGUCUGCAAUCAACUCAGCUGAAUACAAACUUUCUUGAAUUUCUGCAUUAGAGAUGGGGAACAUCUUUGUGGAAACUGGUAUGCGUGGCAGCCCUUGCUUGAAAUGAAGGGGCAAUGCCACAGGGGGGAGAAGUGUUUUGUACAAGGCUACACACAGAAGUGGUGGCAAAGCUAGAAACAGAGCAAGGUCUCUGAACAUGUAAGUCUGUAUGUCCUCCUCCAUAUCACCCUGUCUACCAGGCAGAGAAAGGAGUAGGCUGUGAUAGUGGAAGCCAGUGAAGGAAAAGUCUGUCCCUGUCCCUCUGUCCCUCUGUUCAGAAGAAACUGUCUCAGUUGGCCUACUUGUUCCCUUUACCUAGUUCCCAGCAAGAGAAGUGUUAAACCAGCACUGAGAGCCCUCAUUCCUCCUGGGAUUCAGAAUAUAACAACAGAUGCCAAGGUUAUCUUUGUCCUCUCUCUCCAGUAAGGCUCCAGAGAAAGCACAAACAGAAUGUGGCUUUCUUCCCUUUUUCCUAUCAAUACCAACAAGAAACAUAUUUCUUUACUGUGAUUCCAUUUAUAUUUUGAAGAAUAACAGUAGCAGAACUCUCUGGAGACUCUAAAAUGGUUUUAAAGUAAUUCUGAGUCUUUCAAGGACAAAUAAGGGCUGCUAAUAGAGCAAGUGCAAAUCUUUUCUUUCUUUUUUUUUUUUUUUUUUUUUAUAAGCAUUCCUAGAAGACAAUGCUAUCUUUACUCUUCCCAUAUCAGCUGGGAGUCUGCAGCAUUUACCAUAUCCAGUGCUGCAGACCACCAGGGUUGAAGACGGUGACACGAAAUCCCUGUGUUGUUCAAGAUCACCUCAUAGGUGAGCCUUUCCAGAGGGCAACUCCCCUCGUUAGUAUGUGAAAAAUUGGUAUAAAUCACUGUAAUCCCGAUUUAAUAAUUUGAAAUGGUUCGGAUGCAAAACCAAGAAAGUGCUGCGUAGUGGAUACAAGGUGAGAUUAGCAUUAAGAAAUACUGGGAACACUGCUCCACUAUGCUACUGGUUUGUCGGCUGGCCACGGUCGUAUUGCCACUCUGCCUCAGUUUCUCUAUUUGUAAAAAUGGAGGCAAGAUUGUCGCCUUACCUUUGCUCACCACGGAUGUGGAUGGAGGUCUAUGAUAUAGAUAAGGUGGAUUCUGCCUUUUAAUUUGCCUUUUAUAUUUGGGCCCUCAUGCUCUGCAGCUUUGUAGUUCACAUCAUCAUUUCCACCCUGCACUUUUCAUACAAGACUAAAUGGGAGAGGACUCCUUUUUUGAUGGAAGCCCGUGUGCCUUAGCCAAGAUACAAAGUCGACAGAAACAGCAGCGUGAUGAUGAUCCAGGCCCAUUCAUCCUGACAGCAGAAACAAAUGUGUCUCACUUUUGCUCUACCAUUUACUCAAGCAGAAAACAAAACAAUAGAGAUGGGAAAAGGUCUGAAAGAGCUGUCACAGAACAAGUGCACCAUGCCAAUAAUUUGAAGGAUUAAGAACCCCAAGCCACACGUACUGAGACAAUAGCCGGGGCCAUCCUGUUCACUGAGUUCAUGGAUUAGAGGGAUGUUUCAUAUCAUUCUGUUUUUCUUUUCAACUCUGAUUGAACAAACAUAGCCUGCACGUUCAUAAAUCCCUUGUUAGUAAUGCAAAAUUCAAUACAAUUUCCCUUUCACUACACUCUAUGAUUUUGCCUUUGUAAAAUGUUGCAGUUGUUCUGCCUGGAUGCCUUCACAGAAUAAGCAUGACUUUGUGUCUGGUUC